Suricata suricatta (meerkat) is the source of this 534-nucleotide long non-coding RNA. RefSeq lists it as uncharacterized. The transcript has 2 exons. Lineage: Eukaryota; Metazoa; Chordata; Mammalia; Carnivora; Herpestidae. The record is from RefSeq and is a predicted model, not a curated record.
UGCAAUCUCUCUCAAAAUACAUUUUGAAAAAUUGUAAAUUUGACCAGGGCACCUGGCUGGCUCAGUCCAUAGAGUCUGCUACAGUCUUGAUCUGGAGUGGUGCUUUGAUGAAGUCUUAACUCCUCACCAUUAACUAGAAAGUGCUACAUGAUCUGUCCCCUGCUCUUCCUUGAAGGCCAGCACGUUGAUCCGCUCCCACACUGACUCCAGUACGCCAACACUGGCCUGAUUUCUGUCCUACAAAUACGGCAGGCCUCUGGGCCUUUGCACUUGCUAGUCAGCCUGGGAUGCACUUUUGCGGUGAUUAAGAGCAAGAAUUAGAGUCCAAUUGGCUUUAGAUCCGAGCUUUGCUACUUACCAGCACUUUGACCUGGGCACGUUGCUUAAUUGCUCCGUGUCCGUUUCCUUCUCUGUAAAAUGCCAAGUAGAAACAGUACUUCACUCAUAGGGUUGUUUGAAGAUGAACUGCAUUAAUACAUGGAAAAUGUCACGGACGGUGCCUGGUAUAUUAAAAUGUCUUUUGAGUGUUUGGAA